UACAGAGGGUGCAAGCGUUAAUCGGAAUUACUGGGCGUAAAGCGCACGUAGGCGGUUUUUUAAGUCAGAUGUGAAAGCCCCGGGCUCAACCUGGGAAUUGCAUUUGAAACUGGGGAACUAGAGUGUGGGAGAGGGGGGUAGAAUUCCAAGUGUAGCGGUGAAAUGCGUAGAGAUUUGGAGGAAUACCAGUGGCGAAGGCGGCCCCCUGGCACAACACUGACGCUCAGGUGCGAAAGCGUGGGGAGCAAACAGG
This 253-nucleotide ribosomal RNA is filed under the name uncultured bacterium. RNAcentral describes it as "partial 16S ribosomal RNA". It matches the Rfam family "Bacterial small subunit ribosomal RNA", at positions 524 to 776 of the family's 1533-position model. The record is from RNAcentral.